RNAcentral lists this long non-coding RNA (201 nucleotides) under Panax ginseng (ginseng). RNAcentral's name for it is "long non-coding RNA (PGIN_LNC011892)". The record is from RNAcentral. Lineage: Eukaryota; Viridiplantae; Streptophyta; Magnoliopsida; Apiales; Araliaceae.
AACAAUCAUAAACAAAUUUAUGUCAUAUCUAAAAUCAUUUACAUCACAAUUGUUAAAUACAUCAAAUCAUAGUUAAUCAAAAGUAAAAUAAAAAGAAUAUGCAUAGAGAUAACAAAAAAAAUUCUAAACGCAUUUCGAUGACCUCCAAAUUGAGAACAAUCCUUUCUUUUAACAUCAACUCCAAAAGUAAGUUCUCAACUG